UCUGCAGAUGAAGAAUGAAGACAUAGUUGAGAUGACCACCUUAUUUGUACAAGCGUGUUGAGGCAUGUGAACAAGAAUCAGCAAUGGCCUACUGCCCUGUAGAAACUGCCUUAGGCCUAGUUCACCUUGAUUUAUGGAGAUGGCUUACUCAGAGAGGCAGUAUAUUGUACUCCGAAGAGCCCUGGCACUUGAAAUCUGGAGACCUGGGUCAAGAUGAUAAUUCAGGCACUACCUUCUACGUGGUAUUAUUUAAAGAGAGAAGACUCCCACCAGGACCACUGCAGUGAGGGAGGGACGUCCAAAAUGCAAUGAUUUGUGACUUCGACUUAAAGGAGGGUCCCUCAAACAGCUGACCUAUUCUUCACAACAGCUGGACUGGGAUCAGAAAUAAGAGUGUAAAUCCAAAUGGAGGGAGUUGGUGAUUAACAGUCAAGCCGCUUGGCCUCAUAGCUCUGUGCCUGUUACUACCGCUGCUUGCUGUGUGCACAUAAAGGUGAUCUUCAGAAUCUUCCUAAGACAAUUCAAACGGAAGCACUUCGGUUUCUUGGCAUAGCGCUGGUUUCAUGUUUCACAGGCAUGCAACAAUGAGGCACAUCGAGUACACAGGGUUGCUUUGCUUAAUCAUCUCUUCUUGAAGUUCCUCAACUCUCCUGCAAAGAAGUUCUCUGACUAUAGUUGUUUACCUAAAGCUUCUCAUAUCAUCAUUUGAAGUUCUCAGCAGCCACUAUGGCUCCUCCCGCAGCUCCCCAUGGCAUCCAGCAGGUGGUAUCCUCUGUCUUCCUCUGCAGCUCUCAACCAGCAGUAUCCUAGUACUAUAUUGAAGCUCCAUAAGUAAAACUUCCCCUCUGUUCCAUAGCUGGAGGAAGGACAAAAUUCC
This is a long non-coding RNA of Vombatus ursinus (common wombat), 877 nucleotides long. RefSeq lists it as uncharacterized. The transcript has 5 exons. The record is from RefSeq and is a predicted model, not a curated record. NCBI's taxonomy places the organism in Eukaryota, Metazoa, Chordata, Mammalia, Diprotodontia, Vombatidae.